Molecule: unclassified non-coding RNA, 259 nt
Filed under: uncultured Glomus
Lineage: Eukaryota; Fungi; Glomeromycota; Glomeromycetes; Glomerales; Glomeraceae
Description: sequence contains 18S rRNA gene
Rfam family: Eukaryotic small subunit ribosomal RNA
Source: RNAcentral
AGCAGCCGCGGUAAUUCCAGCUCCAAUAGCGUAUAUUAAAGUUGUUGCAGUUAAAAGCUCGUAGUUGAAUUUCGGGACUAAUAUGUCGGUCGUGCCUCGGUACGUACUGGCUUAUUGGUUUCUCCUUUCUGAAGAACCAUGAUGUCAUUAAUUUGGUGUUAUGGGAAGUUAGGACUGUUACUUUGAAAAAUUAGAGUGUUUAAAGCAGGCUUUAGCUUGAAUACAUUAGCAUGGAAUAAUGAAAAUAGGACGUUCGAAC